This 546-nucleotide ribosomal RNA is filed under the name Triticum aestivum (bread wheat). RNAcentral's name for it is "partial small subunit ribosomal RNA". Lineage: Eukaryota; Viridiplantae; Streptophyta; Magnoliopsida; Poales; Poaceae. The record is from RNAcentral.
AUGCGGGAGGUAAAUGCAGCAGAACCGUCAGUCGAAUCACGCAAGCCCCUAAAGUGGUCCAGCACGCCCAUCAUCUUUGAUGUCGAGGAUCACCCUGAUCGCAUAACUGCGGUCGGGUGCUUGCCGAUGUUGGUUUUGCCAACCAUCCGCAACCUCAAAGUCACAAAGAUGCUGGUUGACGGCGGGGCCGGCUUGAAUCUGAUCUCCUCCGCAGUGCUCAAGAAGCUCCAGAUCCCCGACAGCGAGCUCGAAGAGACUGGUACCUUUCAAGGAAUUAAUCCAGGAAGGAGCAAGCCGAAGGGGAAGAUCACACUGCCAGUAACGUUUGGCAGCGAGCUCAACUUCAGGACAGAGAGAGUCACAUUUGACCUCGCUGAUUUCCCAUUGCCCUACAACGGGAUACUCGGCCGACCAGCGCUUGCCAAGUUCAUGGCAGCCUCUCAUUACGCCUACAAUGUGCUCAAGAUGCCCGGUCCGAUAAGUGUCAUUUCUGUCCAUGGCGACAAGAAAGAUGCACUUAUCUGUACCGACAAGAUCUACCGGUAA